Molecule: long non-coding RNA, 834 nt
Filed under: Gouania willdenowi (blunt-snouted clingfish)
Lineage: Eukaryota; Metazoa; Chordata; Actinopteri; Blenniiformes; Gobiesocidae
Description: lncRNA (ENSGWIG00000010941.1)
Source: RNAcentral
UUUUUUUAAAGUUUUAGUUUCAUUUGUAAACCUGGGAAUGUUUGCUGUUGAUGUCAUGGUAACGAGUGACCGUUCAACAUUUUACUGGCGUCUUUCAGACAAACAACAACACACUGUAAGACACAAAUAAGUGAACAAGGAGUGAACAACAUCAGGGAGAAAAAAAGAUGACAGCAGUGGAGAUGGAGCAAGAGCAGAUGAGGGUGCUGCUUAAAGACAACAAUGCUGAGCUGAUGGAGGAAGUCCUUUCUUUAAGGAAGGCUCUUCAAAAGCAGAAGGAGAAGACCCAAAAAGUCAACCUGGAGCUCCAGCUCACUGACCUCAACACCAACACAAACAUUAAUGAGAUGAAGAUGGAUUGGGGGGAUAUGAUGGAUCAGGAUGACAAGGACAAUGAAAUCCUGACUUUAAAAAAGGCAAACGAAGCCCUUAGUGAGAAGAACUUUCUACUGGAGAAGACAUUGACUGAGAAACAGGAGGAGCUGAUCAACAUGAAGGAAAAGCUCCCAGAGCACCAUGAGAGCAAACUCUCAUCAGAGAUACAAACUCUGAAAUCUGCCCUGCACGUCCAGCACACAGAAGCUGCUGAAGCUUCAAAACAGCUUCAGGACCAGGACAUGAUGAUUGAGAAGUUGAAAACUAUUGCUCAGAUAAAGAUGGCAGAAUCUAAUGCACACUGGAGCAGAAGGAUGGAGGUUCUAAAGCAGCAGGUGCAGGAUUCAGAGAAGAACAAUGUCUGUAUGGACUCCCAGGCUCAGAUAAACUACCUCCAGACACAAAUCACCUCCCUGGAAGAUCUUCUACAGAGCCAAAGCAAGCAUGUUGGGCUUUUAC